UGACUGUCAGGCCACCUUAAGCCACAGUACGGAAAAAGCUGUGCUGCCUGUGAGCCCCGUCCAAGGACGUUAAAAGAAGAAGUCAGGCCCCAAAGCCACGGUUUGAGCAAACCGUGCUGCCUGUGGCUCCGUCGUGGGGACGUAAAACCUGGGAGGCUGCAAACUGUGGAAGCUGUACGCACAGUGUAGCAGACUAGUGGUUAGAGGAGACCCCUCCCAUGACACAACGCAGCAGCGGGGCCCGAGCACUGAGGGAAGCUGUACCUCCUUGCAAAGGACUAGAGGUUAGAGGA
This 293-nucleotide long non-coding RNA is filed under the name dengue virus type 3. RNAcentral describes it as "Dengue virus type 3 partial sfRNA1". The stretch from base 152 to 223 matches the Rfam family "Flavivirus DB element". The record is from RNAcentral. Lineage: Riboviria; Orthornavirae; Kitrinoviricota; Flasuviricetes; Amarillovirales; Flaviviridae.